This 500-nucleotide ribosomal RNA is filed under the name uncultured microorganism. RNAcentral describes it as "bacterial SSU rRNA". It matches the Rfam family "Bacterial small subunit ribosomal RNA", at positions 9 to 490 of the family's 1533-position model. The record is from RNAcentral.
GAGUUUGAUCCUGGCUCAGGAUGAACGCUGGCGGCGUGCCUAAUACAUGCAAGUCGAGCGAACGGACGAGAAGCUUGCUUCUCUGAUGUUAGCGGCGGACGGGUGAGUAACACGUGGGUAACCUACCUAUAAGACUGGGAUAACUCCGGGAAACCGGGGCUAAUACCGGAUAACACAUGAAACCGCAUGGUUUCAUGAUGAAAGACGGUCUUGCUGUCACUUAUAGAUGGAUCCGCGCUGCAUUAGCUAGUUGGUAAGGUAACGGCUUACCAAGGCAACGAUGCAUAGCCGACCUGAGAGGGUGAUCGGCCACACUGGAACUGAGACACGGUCCAGACUCCUACGGGAGGCAGCAGUAGGGAAUCUUCCGCAAUGGGCGAAAGCCUGACGGAGCAACGCCGCGUGAGUGAUGAAGGUCUUCGGAUCGUAAAACUCUGUUAUUAGGGAAGAACAUAUGUGUAAGUAACUAGUGCACAUCUUGACGGUACCUAAUCAGAAAG